Molecule: long non-coding RNA, 1307 nt
Organism: Cyanistes caeruleus (blue tit)
Lineage: Eukaryota; Metazoa; Chordata; Aves; Passeriformes; Paridae
Source: Ensembl
CCCGACGGCACCAGCACACCUCUGGAGAUCGUGCUGCUGGACAAGGUGUCCACAGGCUUCCCCGGUGUGGUGCUGCUGCUGGAGUGGUUUGAGCUCCCCAACGCCAUCGUGAUGGUGCUGGAGCGCCCGGAGCGGUGUCAGGACCUGCAACAUUUCAUUCAUGCACGGAGGUUGCUGUCUGAGGCAUCUAAAAUCCCUGCAGUCUCUGCCCCUGAGGCCACACCACAAUCUGUGACCAGGAGCCUCCUGUCGUUGUGGCAGGAGCCCUCAAGACCCAAGUGCAGGACUCGCUGUCUUGCAAUCUUGCCAGGACUUGAGUCUUGCAGGUGCCUUCCAGGCACGACUGCAGGACUUGCUGACUCCGAGCUUUUCCGAGCCAUUUCUCCUGCAAGUAGCCAUAAAUCCAGUCACUGCCAUGGAGCAGCGACCCCCAAGAGUGCCCAAGUUGGCCUGGCUUGAGGAGGAGGAAGAAGGCUCUGGAGCUGUCCCGGCACAGGAGUCUGAAGAGGUGCAGGAGUUCCAGGCACGACAGGAGGGAUGGGAGAGUCUGGAAGAAGAUACGGAGCAGCGACCACCAAGAGUGCCCAAACUGGCCUGGGUGGAGAAGGAAGAGGAGGAAGAGGAAGAAGGCCCUGGAGCUGCCCCAGCACCAGAGACCGAAGAGGUGCAGCAGUUGCAGCCGCUGGAGGAGGAUGCAGCCAUGGACGGCACACAAGAGCAGGACACCGCCCGUGGCCGCUUCCGCAGAGCAGCGCAGUUUCUUUACCAAUUCAUCACGAGAAUUGGCAAGGAAGACACCAGACCUAUGGACACUGAGGUCAAAGCAUCCUCAGAGGUCUUGGUAGAACAGAGCAGCGCUGCCCAGCUGGAUCUGCUUGUAGAGACGGCUCUUUUCAAUCCAGAGCAAGUGCCCGGCGUGGUGAGGUACAUCCACCAGUGGCUCAUGGCCAAUGAGGCUGCUGAGCACAGGAUGGACUGGGCCCUGAUGCAAGUGGCCGAGGCAGAGCCCGAUGAUGUGGCCAUCACUCUCCUGCGGGUGGCCCCAACGUGUGACAGAGCUGCUAUGGCCAUGUGGACGACCAUCUUGCUCUCGCCCUGGAUUUCAGAGGAAGUGACACCGCUCCUCAUCAAUGUGGUGGGGAGCUGGCCGCAGAAAAACCUGGGCACCUCUGAUGGGGACAAGACGGCUGUCUUUUCCCUGACUGUGAGUUUCUGGAGCUGGCCUUUGCUCACCGCAAGGCCGGCCACCUCUCCAGCAGCUCUGUUGCCUCCUUCCCCCACUGCAUCUCCCUGCUUCAGGCACUGGC